Molecule: ribosomal RNA, 493 nt
Filed under: uncultured bacterium
Lineage: Bacteria
Description: bacterial SSU rRNA
Rfam family: Bacterial small subunit ribosomal RNA
Source: RNAcentral
GAUGAACGCUAGCUACAGGCUUAACACAUGCAAGUCGAGGGGCAGCGGGAUUGAAGCUUGCUUCAAUUGCCGGCGACCGGCGCACGGGUGAGUAACGCGUAUCCAACCUUCCGUACACUCAGGGAUAGCCUUUCGAAAGAAAGAUUAAUACCUGAUGGUAUGAUGAGAUCGCAUGGUAUCAUCAUUAAAGAUUUAUCGGUGUACGAUGGGGAUGCGUUCCAUUAGGUAGUAGGCGGGGUAACGGCCCACCUAGCCUACGAUGGAUAGGGGUUCUGAGAGGAAGGUCCCCCCACAUUGGAACUGAGACACGGUCCAAACUCCUACGGGAGGCAGCAGUGAGGAAUAUUGGUCAAUGGACGAGAGUCUGAACCAGCCAAGUAGCGUGAAGGAUGACUGCCCUAUGGGUUGUAAACUUCUUUUAUACGGGAAUAAAGUGAUCCACGUGUGGAUUUUUGUAUGUACCGUAUGAAUAAGGAUCGGCUAACUCCGUGCC